AGAGUUUGAUCCUGGCUCAGGAUGAACGCUGGCGGCGUGCUUAACACAUGCAAGUCGAACGGACAGGUAAUGAAACCUAGUGAUUUAUCUGUUAGUGGCGGACGGGUGAGUAACGCGUGGGUAACCUGCCGUAUACAGGGGGAUAACACUUAGAAAUAGGUGCUAAAACCGCAUAAGCGCACAGGAUCGCAUGGUCCGGUGUGAAAAACUCCGGUGGUAUACGAUGGACCCGCGUCUGAUUAGCUUGUUGGCGGGGUAGAGGCCCACCAAGGCGACGAUCAGUAGCCGGCCUGAGAGGGUGAACGGCCACAUUGGGACUGAGACACGGCCCAAACUCCUACGGGAGGCAGCAGUGGGGAAUAUUGCACAAUGGGGGAAACCCUGAUGCAGCGACGCCGCGUGAGUGAAGAAGUAUUUCGGUAUGUAAAGCUCUAUCAGCAGGAAAGAAAAUGACGGUACCUGACUAAGAAGCCCCGGCUAACUACGUG
Molecule: ribosomal RNA, 488 nt
Filed under: uncultured Lachnospiraceae bacterium
Lineage: Bacteria; Bacillati; Bacillota; Clostridia; Lachnospirales; Lachnospiraceae
Description: bacterial SSU rRNA
Rfam family: Bacterial small subunit ribosomal RNA
Source: RNAcentral